Macaca mulatta (Rhesus monkey) is the source of this 148-nucleotide unclassified non-coding RNA. It matches the Rfam family "Metazoan signal recognition particle RNA". From Rfam's summary of the family: The signal recognition particle (SRP) is a universally conserved ribonucleoprotein. It is involved in the co-translational targeting of proteins to membranes. The eukaryotic SRP consists of a 300-nucleotide 7S RNA and six proteins: SRPs 72, 68, 54, 19, 14, and 9. NCBI's taxonomy places the organism in Eukaryota, Metazoa, Chordata, Mammalia, Primates, Cercopithecidae. The record is from Ensembl.
GCUGGGUGUGGUGGCGUACACCUGUAAUCCCAGCUACGUGGGAGGCUGAGGCAGGAGAAUUGCUUGAACCUGGGAGGCAGAGGUUGCGGUGAGCCAAGAUUGUACCCCUGCACUCCAACCUGGGUGACAGAGUGAGACCCUGUCUCAA